ACACUACGUUUGGUCCUCCACGCGCGCCGUAGAAGCAUGUUGCCGGUUGGAGGGUUUCGCGAAAAAGUUAGCAAAGUGCUUCUGAACGCCACUGGAAUGAAGGGAUUCUCCGGUAUGGGGCAUCAUUUGUGAUUUCUGGAGAUGACUGAAACUUUGAAGACCAGGUUUGAGUUCCCCAGCUCCCUCAUUCAAGCCCAGGCUGUGAGGACGCUGGUCACUGCAGUGCUGAAAGAGAAAGGCCAAAAUGAAAGGAUUUGUCAGACCACAGCUAAAGUAAGUUCUGGUGAUCUUGCAUAUGAAGAUUAUAUCGCAUCAUGGUUAGGACACAU
This 329-nucleotide long non-coding RNA is filed under the name Sinocyclocheilus grahami. RNAcentral describes it as "lncRNA (ENSSGRG00000042263.1)". Lineage: Eukaryota; Metazoa; Chordata; Actinopteri; Cypriniformes; Cyprinidae. The record is from RNAcentral.